This 250-nucleotide ribosomal RNA is filed under the name uncultured bacterium. Its description in RNAcentral is "partial 16S ribosomal RNA". It matches the Rfam family "Bacterial small subunit ribosomal RNA", at positions 808 to 1058 of the family's 1533-position model. The record is from RNAcentral.
GAUGUCGACUUGGAGGUUGUGCCCUUGAGGCGUGGCUUCCGGAGCUAACGCGUUAAGUCGACGCCUGGGGAGUACGGCCGCAAGGUUAAAACUCAAAUGAAUUGACGGGGGCCCGCACAAGCGGUGGAGCAUGUGGUUUAAUUCGAUGCAACGCGAAGAACCUUACCUACUCUUGACAUCCAGAGAAUUCGCUAGAGAUAGCUUAGUGCCUUCGGGAACUCUGAGACAGGUGCUGCAUGGCUGUCGUCAG